AUACGGAGGGGGUUAGCGUUGUUCGGAAUUACUGGGCGUAAAGCGCACGUAGGCGGAUUAAAAAGUUAGAGGUGAAAUCCCAGGGCUCAACCCUGGAACUGCCUUUAAAACUAGUAGUCUAGAGUUCGAGAGAGGUGAGUAGAAUUCCAAGUGUAGAGGUGAAAUUCGUAGAUAUUUGGAGGAACACCAGUGGCGAAGGCGGCUCACUGGCUCGAUACUGACGCUGAGGUGCGAAAGCGUGGGGAGCAAACAGGAGUAGAAACCCUAGUAGUCC
RNAcentral lists this ribosomal RNA (274 nucleotides) under uncultured bacterium. RNAcentral's name for it is "partial 16S ribosomal RNA". It matches the Rfam family "Bacterial small subunit ribosomal RNA", at positions 523 to 796 of the family's 1533-position model. The record is from RNAcentral.